RNAcentral lists this ribosomal RNA (428 nucleotides) under uncultured archaeon. Its description in RNAcentral is "bacterial SSU rRNA". It matches the Rfam family "Archaeal small subunit ribosomal RNA", at positions 474 to 903 of the family's 1478-position model. The record is from RNAcentral.
UACCAGCUCUCCGAGUUGUAGGGAUGAUUAUUGGGCUUAAAGCGUCCGUAGCUGGCUUAGCAAGUCUCCUGUUAAAUUCAGCGACCUAAUCGUUGAGCCGCGGGAGAUACUACUAGGCUAGGAGGCGGGAGAGGUCGACGGUACUUUCGGGGUAGGGGUGAAAUCCUAUAAUCCCGGGAGGACCACCAGUGGCGAAGGCUGUCGACUAGAACGCGCUCGACGGUGAGGGACGAAAGCUGGGGGAGCGAACCGGAUUAGAUACCCGGGUAGUCCCAGCUGUAAACUAUGCGGGCUAGGUGUUGGGGUGGCUACGGGCCACUUCAGUGCCGCAGGAAGCCAUUAAGCCCGCCGCCUGGGGAGUACGGCCGUAAGGCUGAAACUUAAAGGAAUUGGCGGGGGAGCACCACAAGGCGUGAAGCUUGCGGUUC